GAAUCUUGAAAAUGGGCUGAAAUGAAACAUCGUGGACCUGAGCACCCAGGACAGUAGGGGUGAAGUUGGGAAGCCCGGGAGCCCAUCUUGGAACACGAGGAAGUUGGGGGCAGGAACUCUGAAAACAAAAUUGGCUGGUUUUGGUUCUCCCUCCUCACCCUGGAUCCGGUAUAGGAAUCACAAAUGGAUGAUUGGGGAUGAACCUUCAAGGAAAAUGUCUGUCUCUCUCCACCAGCAUCAACUGUAAGAGAGAAUUUGGGGCCUGAAGAUUAAAAGAUUUGCCCCGUCUCUGAUCUGUAUUACAAGGACUCUUUGAAGUUAUGUUCAGGAAAGGCUGUACUAAAAACAGGAUAAUUUAAACUAGAAUGGAAGUGUAAGAGUUGGGUAUUUUUUGUACAAACUGACAGUGGUAGAGCUGAGGGGGAAAUGGAGCUUUCUCAACUCUAAUCCACCGGUCUGAAUUCAGCCCAGGUCAGUAGUGGCUGUGGUUCAGAUUUUCACAGGACACUUAAGGGAGUUAGAUGGCAUGCUGCUUUAGGCUCCUUUUGAAAAUCCCAUCCCUAACCCAUUGCUAUCUGAAGGCUCUUCAGUUGCCCUUUCUGUGAAAUGAGUUAGGGUUUGACCUCCAUGUCUGAGAUACAAUAUUUGCCCAGAUAUUUUUAAAGCUCCUAGUCACUGUAAUACCUGUGGACUUGUACAAAAUUGAGGAUCUGGAUGGUUAAUCAACAUUGGUCUAUUUACUGGUGGGUCCAAAAUUACUUUCCACUCUUCCCAUGUCCAUUGUCUGAUUUCUACUACCAACACCAUUUAAGUUAGGCUGAGAUUUUCAAAUGCACUCAGGAUUUGGACACUCAGUUUCCAUUUAAAAAAUUAAUGGGAAUUUAACAGGCAAAUGCAUAGAUUUGAAAAUCUUAACCUCAAUGUAUUUAAACUGUCUCCUUUACCCUAUAGGUGCACGCUCGCUCGCCUGACACCAGCUCA
Molecule: long non-coding RNA, 981 nt
Filed under: Chelydra serpentina (North American snapping turtle)
Lineage: Eukaryota; Metazoa; Chordata; Testudines; Chelydridae
Description: lncRNA (ENSCSRG00000008274.1)
Source: RNAcentral